Long non-coding RNA from Gracilinanus agilis (Agile Gracile Mouse Opossum), 1243 nucleotides. RefSeq lists it as uncharacterized. NCBI's taxonomy places the organism in Eukaryota, Metazoa, Chordata, Mammalia, Didelphimorphia, Didelphidae. The transcript has 2 exons. The record is from RefSeq and is a predicted model, not a curated record.
AGAGGGAAGAAGGAAGAAAAGAAAGAGAGGUGAGGAGGGAGGGAAGAAAAGGAGGUGAUAUUGGUAGCUCUCUCACUCCUCCUCCUGUUUACCUUCCUGGCCUCCAUGGGCAUGUCUAUUCCUCCUGUGUACAGAGUGUGGAGGCCACGUGCGAGCAGAAGUGAAGACCAAGGACCUCUAUUCCCAUGCACAGUUCGGAGACAACAACUACCCUGGGGGGUCAGAUUGUGAGUGGGUCAUCGUGGCCGAAGAGGGCUACGGUGUGGAGCUGGUGUUCCAGACCUUUGAGGUGGAGGAGGAGGCUGACUGUGGCUAUGAUUACAUGGAACUCUUUGACGGUUAUGACAGCACAGCCCCCAGGCUGGGGCGCUACUGUGGCUCUGGGCCCCCAGAGGAGGUGUACUCGGCCGGAGAUUCCGUCCUGGUGAGAUUCCACUCUGAUGACACCAUCAACAAAAAAGGCUUCCAUCUUCGCUAUACCAGCACCAAGUUCCAGGACACGCUUCACAGCAGGAAAUGAGCCGGAAGUGACCUCUCCCUUCAUCCCCAGAGGGAAAAGGAAGACUUCCUCCCCUCGGGCACCAGCUCCCUCCUUCCCUCCCCACACACACAUACAGACUGACUUACAUGGUUGGACAAGGGGACAGAGGGAGGCCAUUCCCCUUUCCUCUCUCGAACCACAGUCUCCAGCUUGGAUACCAGUUGAGUCUCUGCGGGUAGAGGAACCAGACUUCUCUCUAAAUGGCUUCCCCCACCACCUCUCUUCUCUCCUUUCUUUAUGCCUGCCCUGUGACUGAGAGGGGUAAAGGUCCAGGAGAUCAAGUUUUCACGGAGACUCGAAGACAUCCGUGUUCUCCAAGCAGCCCGUCCCCCCCACACACACACAUACAACUUCCCCCCCACAUUGUGAUCUGGGAGAGGUUUACUUGGAGCAAAAGACUCCCUGAUCUUUCUUGUCCCUCUCACUCCAAAUUGUAUUCUGUAUAGUCAGUGGCAAAAUCCUCACUGUAACACACCAGCAAACCCGACCUUCCUCCUUCCUUGCCCUCCCCCUCCUCAUUUUGGUGUUAUUCUUAAAGCUCUGGUUUCAGCAUGUCUGUCCAAUGGGCAGUGGUGAGGGAGGUGAUGGAGGCGGAUAGGAGACUGGAGAGAUGGGGAGGGCAGUGUAGGGGCCCUCUCUUUCCCCCGAGGCAGUGAGGUCAGCCAUCUGGGGAUACCCCCAGCCAAUAAACUGAAAGUGUUA